RNAcentral lists this transfer RNA (83 nucleotides) under Mumia sp. RNAcentral describes it as "tRNA-Leu". It matches the Rfam family "tRNA". From Rfam's summary of the family: Transfer RNA (tRNA) molecules are approximately 80 nucleotides in length. Their secondary structure includes four short double-helical elements and three loops (D, anti-codon, and T loops). The record is from RNAcentral. RNAcentral also lists the same sequence under 3 other names. Lineage: Bacteria; Bacillati; Actinomycetota; Actinomycetes; Propionibacteriales; Nocardioidaceae.
GCCGGGUUGGCGGAAUGGUAGACGCGGUGGUCUCAAACACCACUGUCCGAGAGGGCGUGCGGGUUCGAGUCCCGCACCCGGCA